UACGUAGGGAGCAAGCGUUGUCCGGAAUCAUUGGGCGUAAAGCGCGCGUAGGCGGCCCUGUAAGUCCGUUGUGAAAGUCAAAGGCUCAACCUUUGAAAGCCGAUGGAUACUGCAGGGCUAGAGUCCGGAAGAGGCGAGUGGAAUUCCUGGUGUAGCGGUGGAAUGCGCAGAUAUCAGGAGGAACACCAGCGGCGAAGGCGGCCAUCUGGACAGAUAUUGACGCUGAGGUGCGAAAGCGUGGGGAGCAAACAGG
Molecule: ribosomal RNA, 253 nt
Filed under: uncultured bacterium
Lineage: Bacteria
Description: partial 16S ribosomal RNA
Rfam family: Bacterial small subunit ribosomal RNA
Source: RNAcentral